UGGGGAAUAUUGGACAAUGGGGGGAACCCUGAUCCAGCCAUGCCGCGUGUGUGAAGAAGGCCUUAUGGUUGUAAAGCACUUUAAGCGAGGAGGAGGGUACUGGUAUUAAUACUACCAGCUACUGGACGUUACUCGCAGAAUAAGCACCGGCUAACUCUGUGCCAGCAGCCGCGGUAAUACAGAGGGUGCGAGCGUUAAUCGGAUUUACUGGGCGUAAAGCGUGCGUAGGCGGCUAAUUGAGUCGGAUGUGAAAUCCCCGGGCUUAACUUGGGAAUUGCAUUCGAUACUGGUUAGCUAGAGUGUGGGAGAGGAUGGUAGAAUUCCAGGUGUAGCGGUGAAAUGCGUAGAGAUCUGGAGGAAUACCGAUGGCGAAGGCAGCCAUCUGGCCUAACACUGACGCUGAGGUACGAAAGCAUGGGGAGCAAACAGG
RNAcentral lists this ribosomal RNA (430 nucleotides) under Pseudomonadota bacterium. RNAcentral's name for it is "Proteobacteria bacterium partial 16S ribosomal RNA". It matches the Rfam family "Bacterial small subunit ribosomal RNA", at positions 355 to 776 of the family's 1533-position model. Lineage: Bacteria; Pseudomonadati; Pseudomonadota. The record is from RNAcentral.